UAUGCGAAGUUCAGAUACUACUUAUAUAUAUAUCGCGCGCUGGAUGGCCGCAUCCCACGCAGGGUCCAUUCCCGCGCUGGUAUUAAGUAAACGCUGGGCUGCCGGGCUUCGGCCGCUUUUAAUCACCAGAAUCGGUUUGUUACGUGAAGCGCUACGGGCGGCGGAAACAAAACGGCGGGCGUCGCUUAACUGUUCCAGAUAGAGCAAAAUCGCGCUGGUCUUGCUGUCGCGCGCCAGAUAGUCCAGUAGUUCAUCGACAUCAAUAUCCAGGCUAUCGCCCAGCGCGAUAAAGUAGGAAAAGCCCAUUUCACGCUGUUGCGCCCAGUCAAGAAUAGUAUUGGAAACUGCGGCAGACUGGGAAAUAAAAGCGAGCUUGCCCUGUUUAAUCGGGACGGGAGAAAAGCUGGCAUUCAGCCCUUGCCACGGCGCGAGAAGCCCAAGACUGUUUGGACCCAGCAGACGCAUUUUAUAAUGCCGGGCACAGGCAAGAAGUUCUUCAUGUUGCGACGUGGGAGCAGAAAGGAUAAUGCACGUUUUACACCCUUUCGCGCCAAGCGCGUCCAGUAACGCCAGGUUACGGCUGGCGUUAGUGCAUAAAAUAGCCAGAUCGGGUGUGAAAGGAAGACUGGCGAUAUCCGGCCAGGCCAUGACGCCUAAAACGGCUUUCCAGGCGGGCGUCACGGGAAGGACGGGGCCAUUGAAUCCGCCCGCCAACAAGUUACGCAUCAUCAGGUAACCCGCGCGGUGGGGCUUCAUUGAUGCGCCAAUCACCGCGAUCGAUUUUGGUCGCAGUAGCGCUUCCAGUCCUUGCUGGCUC
Molecule: ribosomal RNA, 817 nt
Filed under: Salmonella enterica subsp. enterica serovar Wandsworth str. A4-580
Lineage: Bacteria; Pseudomonadati; Pseudomonadota; Gammaproteobacteria; Enterobacterales; Enterobacteriaceae
Description: partial small subunit ribosomal RNA
Source: RNAcentral